This 480-nucleotide ribosomal RNA is filed under the name uncultured bacterium. Its description in RNAcentral is "bacterial SSU rRNA". It matches the Rfam family "Bacterial small subunit ribosomal RNA", at positions 791 to 1268 of the family's 1533-position model. The record is from RNAcentral.
UAGUCCUAGCCGUAAACGUUGUACACUAGGUGUGGGGGGAGUUGACCCCUUCCGCGCCCAAGCUAACGCGAUAAGUGUACCGCCUGGGGAGUACGGCGGCAACGCUAAAACUCAAAGGAAUUGACGGGGGCCCGCACAAGCGGUGGAGCAUGUGGCUUAAUUCGAGGCAACGCGAAGAACCUUACCUGGGUUUGACAUAUAGUGGACAGGCCAUGAAAGUGGUUUUCCCUUCGGGGUCGCUAUACAGAUGCUGCACGGCUGUCGUCAGCUCGUGUCGUGAGAUGUUCGGUUAAGUCCGGCAACGAGCGCAACCCGUGUCGUCAGUUGCCAUCAGGUAAUGCUGGGAACUCUGACGAAACUGCCCGUGUUAAGCGGGAGGAAGGCGCGGACGACGUCAAGUCCGUAUGGCUCUUACACCCAGGGGCUGCACACGUGCUACAAUGGCUGGUACAAUGAGAAGCGAAACCGUGAGGGUGGAGC